Nerophis ophidion (straightnose pipefish) is the source of this 1036-nucleotide long non-coding RNA. RefSeq lists it as uncharacterized. The record is from RefSeq and is a predicted model, not a curated record. The transcript has 2 exons. NCBI's taxonomy places the organism in Eukaryota, Metazoa, Chordata, Actinopteri, Syngnathiformes, Syngnathidae.
UGGCCCUGCGAUGAGGUGGCGACUUGUCCAGGCUGUAAACCGCCGUCCGCCCGAUGUAGCUGAGAUAGGCACCAGCGCCCCCCGUGACCCCAAAGGGAAUAAGCGGUAGAAAUGGAUGGAUUGAUGGAUAUAUGACAUCAUUAAACACACACGUUCAAAUGUAUCUGUUCUCCCUGCUGAGUAAAGUAAACAAUGUCUAAUUAUUACAUUAAUCUGUUACCACACUUAGGAACCUGCUUGUUGGGCUGCACUGGAAUGAAAACUCGAGCCGCUCUACAGCUACUACAAAAGCAGGUGCUGAGCGCUAUGCAGUACGCUACCCGAAAUAUAAAGCAGGGGGCCAUGUGGUCAAGAAAUUAGCGACAGAGCCAACAUAUCGCUACGUAGACAACUUGAUCAGGGAGGUUUUUGCUGGCUGCAGACAGACCCCUGACGUGAGAACACCAGUCAGCCUCACCGUGGAUGUGCCUCCCUUCCUCUGCGAUGAACUGGAGAAGCCAGACAAGGAGGAAGCCAUCGCCUAGCACAGGAGUUGCUUCACUAAGCGUUAACUACAGUGGCCAUAUGAAUUCUGUUGCAGUCACUGCACGUCUUGGAACCCUGUGUAGUCCAUCGAUGGAAAUGUUGUUCUGAUCUUAUGUACACAAGCUGGUAGUGCCACCCUUAUCUCCUUUCCCAGAUAUCCCCAGCAGAAGCGGACAAACUGUCGAUAUGUUGUGUACCGUCUCCACCUGGAAGUACAAAAUAGUUAAUAGCACAUUAUGGCACCUGUUAUUAUCCAGACAUGGAUACACAGUGACUCACUAUACUCUGAGAUGCAAAAUACAUUGUCAUGCAUUCUAUUCAUUUGUAAUUUACUGUUGCAAUAAAUCGUAAAUAUUGUUGACAUCUACGGUCCAUGUAUGUAAUACUUCUAUGAUAUAUAAUGUCAUUUACUAUGUAGAACAGUACAAUUUACAGAAUAAGAUAAGAUAAGAAAGUGCUUAUUCUGACUUAUCUUCCAAAGGUUGAUAGAAUAAAGAAUUAUUUAAACUUA